Molecule: ribosomal RNA, 700 nt
Filed under: uncultured bacterium
Lineage: Bacteria
Description: bacterial SSU rRNA
Rfam family: Bacterial small subunit ribosomal RNA
Source: RNAcentral
AGAGUUUGAUCAUGGCUCAGAUUGAACGCUGGCGGCAUGCCUAACACAUGCAAGUCGAACGGGCUGUAGCAAUACAGCUAGUGGCGGACGGGUGAGGAAUACAUAGGAAUUUGCCUUUAGGUGGGGGAUAGCCCGGGGAAACUCGGAGUAAUACCGCAUGAUGUCGCAAGACCAAAGUCGGGGAUCGCAAGACCUGGCGCCUUUAGAGAAGCCUAUGUCUGAUUAGCUAGUUGGUAGGGUAACGGCCUACCAAGGCGACGAUCAGUAACUGGUCUGAGAGGACGAUCAGUCACACCGGAACUGAGACACGGUCCGGACUCCUACGGGAGGCAGCAGUGGGGAAUAUUGGACAAUGGGCGCAAGCCUGAUCCAGCAAUGCCGCGUGUGUGAAGAAGGCCUUCGGGUUGUAAAGCACUUUGAUCUGGGAAGAAAAAGCUUUGGCUAAUAUCCAAAGCCUUGACGGUACCAGAGGAACAAGCACCGGCUAACUCUGUGCCAGCAGCCGCGGUAAUACAGAGGGUGCAAGCGUUAAUCGGAUUUACUGGGCGUAAAGCGUGUGUAGGCGGUUUGCUAAGUCGGAUGUGAAAGCCCUGGGCUCAACCUGGGAAUUGCAUUCGAUACUGGCAAGCUAGAGUACGGUAGAGGGCGGCGGAAUUCCGGGUGUAGCGGUGAAAUGCGUAGAUAUCCGGAGGAACACCGA